CAUAAACGACUCUCGGCAACGGAUAUCUCGGCUCACGCAUCGAUGAAGAACGUAGCAAAAUGCGAUACUUGGUGUGAAUUGCAGAAUCCCGUGAACCAUCGAGUUUUUGAACGCAAGUUGCGCCCGAAGCCAUUCGGCCGAGGGCACGUCUGCCUGGGUGUC
Molecule: ribosomal RNA, 162 nt
Filed under: Saussurea orgaadayi
Lineage: Eukaryota; Viridiplantae; Streptophyta; Magnoliopsida; Asterales; Asteraceae
Description: 5.8S ribosomal RNA
Rfam family: 5.8S ribosomal RNA
About the family: 5.8S ribosomal RNA (5.8S rRNA) is a component of the large subunit of the eukaryotic ribosome. It is transcribed by RNA polymerase I as part of the 45S precursor that also contains 18S and 28S rRNA.
Source: RNAcentral